Molecule: long non-coding RNA, 687 nt
Filed under: Lupinus angustifolius (narrow-leaved blue lupine)
Lineage: Eukaryota; Viridiplantae; Streptophyta; Magnoliopsida; Fabales; Fabaceae
Description: long non-coding RNA (LANG_LNC001348)
Source: RNAcentral
GAAAGUUUCAUUUCAACCUAGUUUGGGAAUCAUUAACAAGGGUAAGAAACCAGAUUUCAAACUGAUCGUUGAGACCUGAGAAUGAGACCAUAUACAUUUCCAAUACUAUUACGGAAAAUUUCUAUUACAGCUGAAGUUCAAAAGCUUCAGAACAAAACCCAAAAGAAGAAGAAAAAACUACACAGAUACAUAAACAAACAAAAAAAUGAUAGCAACGUUUCAGUCGCAUAAGUCUUCUUGAUAAUCAGAUUGUGCAGCCACAGAACAAAAAGAAGAAGCAGAGCAUAGAAACCAGAGCGACGGAUUCGAACGCCGUUACGAUACUCCACACUAACUCAUCCACAAUGGAAAUACUCAUGAGCCCCGACCACCUUAACAACCUCCGUGGAGACCACCUCGGAGUUAUGUACGAUGCCACCAUCCCAGGCCACCGUGUCAUCGAAGAACCGCCUGAGAAUUCCAACAUCAACCACCGGAAUGUCGAUGCCAUCAGAUUAUACUCUGUUUCAAAUAAAGAUAAAAUAAUGUUCCUUUCUCUCGCAGUAUCUAGUAGAAUUUGAAAAAAUGAUGCAAAUAAGAGUGGGAUGUGGGAUAUGGGAUAUUUAUUUGUGUGUGAUAAUUACCUUUUACCCUAUCCUAAGAUAAAAAUGGUAAAAUUGAUGAGCUAACAUGACUACCUUAUUUAAG